UACGUAGGUGACAAGCGUUGUCCGGAUUUACUGGGCGUAAAGAGCGCGCAGGCGGUCGUUCAAGUCGAGUGUGAAAGCCCCCGGCUCAACUGGGGAGGGUCAUUCGAUACUGAUCGACUCGAAGGCAGAAGAGGGAAGUGGAAUUCCCGGUGUAGUGGUGAAAUGCGUAGAUAUCGGGAGGAACACCAGUGGCGAAGGCGACUUCCUGGCCUGUUCUUGACGCUGAGGCGCGAAAGCUAGGGGAGCAAACGGG
Molecule: ribosomal RNA, 253 nt
Filed under: uncultured bacterium
Lineage: Bacteria
Description: partial 16S ribosomal RNA
Rfam family: Bacterial small subunit ribosomal RNA
Source: RNAcentral